UUUUAUGUGACGUUUCUUACUGUGCAAUAGGAUGAUUUCAUGUGUUUAAAAUCCGCUGUUACAAUAAAAAACAACCACCCUAUUCGCAGGAAGUUGUUUGUAGGAGAUGGUUUUCGACGUCAAACAGUAAGAACUUGUUUAAUCUGCGGCGAAGGGCCGACAGCGGAUUUGUGAGAGUUGGAAAUAUUUCAGAAUGGAACGCGUCCAAUGGAGAUUACGCCGCUCUCCUCAUCACGAUACUACAACGAGGAAAAAGUGGCAAAGAGGACCAGCAUAUAAUUGAGCCGAAGCGUAAACAACGCGUCCAUCAAGGUGUAGCGGGGCCAGAGGGUUUUAAACCGGCUACGUUUACUGUUACCUUCGCUUCGCAGCUCUCCGGCGGCUGCCGCAGGCUCCCCCGGACACCAUGGUUUGUACUCUGAGGAGCAGAGAGUUUACAGUCGCUUCGGCUGUACUGAACUGAGCAGUGUGCUAUAGGCGAGCGGAGGCAGUGUGGCUCCAAAACAAUCCCCAGCGCCUCUAUUGUCUGAAAGCAGCGCGUCUAGAAGAUGGGGCAUCCUCCGCUAGAGUUCAGUGACUGCUACAAGGACAGUCCAGACUUCAGGGAGACCCUCAAGUGUUACGAAUUGGAGCUAGACAGGACGAGCAAAUUCCUCAAAGAGUUGAUCAAAGAUGGCAACAGUGUUAUUACUGCAAUCAAGGGCUAUUCCUUGGCAGUGCAGAAGUUUUCCCAGACUCUGAGUGGAUUCCAGUUUGACUUUAUUGGCGACUCCCUGACAGAUGAUGAGAUUAACAUAGCUGAGUCAUUCCAGGAGUUUGCCGGACUCCUGCAGGAAGUGGAGCACGACAGGAUGAUGCUGGUCCAGAAUGCAUCCAAUCUCCUCAUCCGGCCCUUAGAGAAGUUCAGAAAGGAGCAGAUAGGCGCAACAAAAGAAAAGAAGAAGAAGUUUGAAAAAGAGAGUGAAAAAUAUUACUCCCUGCUAGAUAAACAUUUGAACAUUUCUGCCAAGAAGAAGGAGAGUCAGCUUCAGGAGGCCGAUGAGCUCCUCGACAGGGAAAGGGUGAAUUUCUAUGAAUCAUCAGUGGAAUACGUAUACCAGAUCCAUCAAGUUCAGGACAGGAAGAAGUUUGAUGUUGUGGAGCCGGUGCUGGCGUUCCUUCACAGCAUUUUAACUCUCAACAACUUGACAGUGGAGAUGACUCAGGACUUUAUGCCUUAUAAGCAGGAGCUGCAGCUCAGCCUGCAGAAUACCAGAAACCACUAUGAUAGCACUUGUGAGGAACUGGAGGAGCUGAUGAAGAGAAUGAAACAUCCAUCUCAAAUUUCAAAGAUGCAAAAUUUUCUGCCGCUGGAGGGUUAUUUGUACUGUCAGGAGAAGCGGGCUUUGGGUGCAUCAUGGGUCAAAUAUUUUUGCAAGUAUCACAAGGAGGGGAGAAGGCUGAUCAUGGUCUCCUGUGAACAGAAGCCUGCAACAAAGCAGGCCCCACUGCUACUCACUCUGAAAUCCUGCAUUCGUCGCAAGACGGAGUCCAUCGACAAGCGCUUCUGCUUUGACGUAGAAACCGUCGAAAGAAACGCACCCGUCACUUUCCAGGCCCUAUCGGAGGGGGACAGAAAGUUGUGGAUGGAGGCCAUGGAUGGAAAAGAGCCUAUUUAUCACUCCCCGAUUCACAAGCAAGCAGAAAUGGAACUAAAUGAAACCGGAUUCAAGUUUGUGAAAAAGUGUAUCAACUACAUUGAAACUGAAGGAGCCACACAAGAAGGAGUAUACAGGACGGUCGGCAGCAACAUCCAAGUGCAGAAGCUCUUAAAUGCCUUCUUUGAUCCCUUAAAUCCUGGAAGUGUGGAUUUCAACAGCAGCGACUGGGAUGAUAAAACCAUCACAAGUGCAUUGAAGUUCUACCUGAGGAGUCUAUCUGAACCUCUAAUGACCUACGAUUUGCACAGACAACUCCUGAUUGCCGCAAAAUCCGAUAAUCUGGACUUUCGACUAAGUGAAAUUCAUUUACUUAUCUACAAACUACCAGAGAAGAAUCGUGAAAUGUUGGAGAUGCUUAUUAGGCACUUAGUAAACGUAUGCAGCCAAAGUGAUGAAAACCUGAUGACUCCCUCCAACAUGGCAGUUAUCUUCGGGCCCACACUCAUGAGAGCGAAGGAGGAAACGGUGGCGGCCAUGCUUGAUAUCAAGUUCCAAAACAUUGUGGUUGAGAUUCUGAUCGAGGACUACAAAAAGAUCUUCACUUGUAAGCCGGAGGACAGCGCCUCCCCACCUAUCCCUCCUCCACGGAUCACCCCGAGAAAGCGGCAGCCAAUCACCAUCUCCAAACGGCCGGCUCGUCUUUACCAACCUCUUAGUCACGAGCACUUCCAGCACGCAGAGAAUGGCCAGAAAGACACCUCUAUCGUGGAUGGGGAUGUCUCAGCAAGCCCCAAACCCAUAAAGCCACUUAAACCUGCUUCCUGUGCUCCACUCGCUCCAAGAGAGCCUCCUUUGAGACUAGCGGGGAUGCCCAGACCGGCCAACCGUCAGGACAGGCAAGCUGACUCUGAUGCUGAGAAGUUAAGUGAUGUGACGCAAAAGCUUGACUCUUCCGUGGCAGCAAACGGGGAUUCCGGCGUCUGCGUGAGCAGGGUGCCGUCAUUUCAACGUCAAAAAGCUCCUCCAAAGGGAACGCCAGCCAACCGAGAAGGACAUUCUGAUGGUUUGACCAAAACAAGGUUUGCUGAGAAACAUCCCAUUUGUCGACCCCCUAUCAGGCCCCCUGAGCCCCCCUCCAGAUUCCCCGCUCCACAAAAGCUUCCAGUUGCAGCCAGCAGUGAGGGCAACCCCACAUCCUAACCUUCACAUCUCUCAGCUCUCAGCCAUCACCCACCUUCCCCGAUACAGAGGACUCCAACCCACAGUCCCCACCCCCACAACCAUCCUGUCCCUUUCAACACUUCAGUGUUGCAUCAAAGACCAAGUUUUUUGAGAAUGCAUCAAGACAAGUUGUCAGUCCAGCAACCUCUCCAGGGACAAAUGUGAAAAAAGAGAAAUGAAGUUAAAAGGUGGAACAGUGGACAGCAUCAUGCAACCUCAACACAUGUUCUUAGCUGCAUAUUAAGCUGUGGAGAGUUCCUGCUAGUGCAUUCAGAUUAUGUGAGAAAUAAGCUCCCAUCAGAACUGAAUACAUUUGUUUGGGUUCCAGAUAUGAGUGGUGUUGUAAAGCAACACUGUUGGCACAACAACAGACUCUGUUUGAUUGUCAUUCCCCACACCUGUUGAGUUGUUCAUCACCUGUAGGCUUUUUGAAGGUUUGAUUUGUGUUAAUUACUUUUUGCUAGUGUUACUUAUAUAAAGUAACCAGUAUGCUUGUUAUAACUUACAAUGCUAAUAGUUGGUCUUAGCAGUGUGAAAUAGUUGCCCCAAAGAAGACUAACUGAUCUAAACUUGACUUUAUCUGUUUAGUCAUGUGAAAUUGUAAUCUAUUACUUUAAAUAAUAACUUUUGUAACCACAUAGAAUGUUACAAGUUGUGAAGAAAACCUUCCAAUGUUUUAUUGUUAUUUCUGUUCUUAAUGUUGUGUAUAUUUCACUUGUUUUUUGAUAACUCAACUUGAAAUUUCUUGCCUAUUUUAAAAAAAGAGAAAUAAACAGGAAGAGAUCUUUGAAUGA
RNA transcript from Girardinichthys multiradiatus, 3655 nucleotides. It is a transcript of the gene named oligophrenin-1-like, with no coding region annotated. The record is from RefSeq and is a predicted model, not a curated record. Lineage: Eukaryota; Metazoa; Chordata; Actinopteri; Cyprinodontiformes; Goodeidae. The transcript has 25 exons.